RNA transcript from Gopherus evgoodei (Goodes thornscrub tortoise), 4883 nucleotides. It is a transcript of the gene named phospholamban, with no coding region annotated. Lineage: Eukaryota; Metazoa; Chordata; Testudines; Testudinidae. The record is from RefSeq and is a predicted model, not a curated record. The transcript has 2 exons.
CAACUUCUGAAUUCCUGCAUGACAUCAUGAGCCCUGCCUCAAACUUUUGUUAUUUUUUCCUCCACCUUCUUCAAUUGUUCCUACAAACUUGGCGACAGGCAGACAAGUUGCCAGAGAAGUCCAGACAAAGUUUCCCACAGCUCAGAACACAUUAUCUUACAAUUCACUAAUAAUCAUCAUCAGAGGUGGCAGAAACUGAGGACAGGUAGAAAACAAGAACAAGAUGAAAUACAUGCAAAUCCGAAUUUCUUACUACUGCAGCUGAACCAACAGCAGCUACAAUCAAGAAAUCAGUUGCAAGCACAAGAGGUCAGACUAGCGCAGAGUAUGGAUCUUGCUAACAACAGAGGCCUCAACUUGCUACUCAAUUUCCUGCUUAUUGUUAUGGUUCUAGUGCUCAUGUUUAUCCUUGUGAAACUCAUGUGAAUCUCGAGGUUCUGCUUUUUUUGCAAUGAUAACUUAACACUUCAAACUAUCUGAACAUAACAUGUAAAGAUUGCAUAAGAUAGAGAAGUAUAUGAAUAUUACGUGCUCGUGUAUCUACUCUACAGCAAAAUAGCUUAAAAGCAAAACAAUCAACAUACUUGCUGAAGGCUAAGAGGAGUGUAUAGUUCCAUGCUGACGACAAAAGGACACUGUAUCUAAGCACACACAGUAUUCUUGCCGCUGGUAUAAUAAACUCAUUACUUGUAUUUAAACAACUAAGAAUCAAAGGCAGGAGUCUUCUAGGAAUACAAUCUCUGCAAAGAGGAUAAGAGAAAUAAAAAAAAUGGAAUCUCCACGGGGCAGCCUCUCUGAAGAAAACUGAAACACAGGCCUCAAAAGGACAAGAGAGAUGCCUAAAGCUGAUUGAUGGCAAGUAUCAGAUUACAUACGGAAAAGAAAAACAAAGAUGUUGUUGUGGUUAUUUAAAAGCAAAUCCCACCAUCUGGUCACAGGAUCUGUCAUGCAUGUUCAAAUAUAAAAAAAAUUAUUAACUGCAGUUUUUUAAAAGGCACACCAUCCACUGCAGCAUUUGAAAAAAAAAAAUCUCAACAAGCAGUUCUAUUAUGCAUCAAUAUUGACAGAAUUUCACCAAUCACCAGCUGUUAAGCUUAAAAUUUUGAGCAACAACAAGGUAAUAUAAAAUAGAGAACGCUAUCAAGUCUCACUCUACUUCAGUCUCUCUGAAGUUUGCUGAAAGUCUCAUGCAAUAGUAGACGAGACAGCCUGGAUACUUACAAUUAAAGCUUUUCACUGUUGUCUACAAAUGAAGUAUGUGCAACAAAUAUUUAAACAGCCUUUCCAAAAAUCAAAAAGACUUAUAUAGCAGCAAACUGUAAAGUCAAUAGCUAUUCUAUGUUGAUACAGUAUUGUCAAUUUCUAUAUCGAUUGUCAAUGUAUGUUUCAAAGAGGAAAAGUUACCCAGCUGCUUCAUAAUAAGCACUUUAUCACAUUUUGUUUGAUAUUUUGGAGGCUAUUCCGCUUUUAUAAACUAUGCCUGAACAUUCAUAUACAAGGGAUCUAAAUUAUAGCAAAGGGUUGGUUAAUGUUUCAAUUAACCCUUUAGCGUCAAUGAGUAGGCACAUUACCACAACAUGAAGUAAACCAAAUCCAAACAUACAACUGAUCCAAUUUUCUAAUGACAUGCCUAUUCACAGAUAUGCUGCAUAUAUUGCUUUAGAACGUACUGUGUAUAUAAAUAUAUAAACAACUACAGCUAUCUAAGAGUUUGUAUCAAAGAGAGAAUUUGAAAAAAAAAGGAAAAAAUGGUGACUCUAUGGAUUGUAUUAUCUUUCACUUUUAUCUGAAAUCACUUUACAAACAAACAAAGCAUACAAGAAUCUCACCACUCUCCACUAAUGCGUAACUACCUCUGGGGGGGAAUGAAACAACUGUUUAUCCCAGUGACACUACACAAGUUUGAGACAGAUAAUAAAACAUACAGCUUUAACUAGACAGAAUAUAAAUUUGUAUGAGCUACUGGGAGUAAAAACUUCUGCAGCAAACAGAGGCAUAAUAUUUUUACUGAUCAAAAAUGGUCAGGAUUGGAUUAACACAUCAGCCAUCAGCACGUAUUGAAAACCAGUCCCACAUAUUUAUUGUAUUAAGAUGAAUCCCUAGUUGUCAAAUCCCAAGACCACUUACUUCAAAAUGAACAGAAUAUAAAAAUUAACUUCAGUGAGCACAACAAUGAAUAUUAAACUAAAGUGACUGCAGUUUUUAGCAUGAAAAAUUCUCUCUGAAAAUAUCAUUAAUUAAAAAUUUAUAUUUUCUGUGGGGAAAUGCUGAUUUUCAGAAAAAGGAUUUCAAUUUUUUGAUCAAGUGGGACGAAAAUUAAAAUAUUAUGAGUUGACAUUUCAAAAUGAAACUUUCUUCAUUUCAAAAUGUCAGUUUGAAGAGAAUGGUAUCAUUUCAACAUGUCAGAUUGUUUUACUCAUAAAUGCAGACAUUUAGUUGAAUAUUUCCAAUUCACAAGUUGAAAUAUUUUGAUUUGCAAAACCUUGGGAUAUUUUGACUGUCCAUUCUGAUUUGAAAUGCAAACUAAUUUUGAAUUGUCUAAAUUUUCCAAGAGACGAAAAUCUCAUUUCCCGACCAGCUCUAAUAUUAACCUAUGCAUGCUUUAAACAGAGAGGAGGGCUAAGCACCUUGUUAAUGGAAAAUGGCAAAAAGACAAAUUAAGGGGAAAGCCAGACUAUUAAGUAAUUUCCAUCCAGCACAAGUGUAGCCUCCCAGAUGAACUGGUGCAGUAUACUAAACUCAAGUGUAAUCGCAGUAUGAAACAAAACAAAAAACAAACACACACAAAGAGAGCAUGAUACAAUGAGAGCACUGGAGGGAGGAGGGGGUGGCAGGAUGUGUGGUGAGGACAUGGACCUGGCUUCAGCACAGGGUCAGCUUCACUUUACACAGUUGCCCUGGGGAAAGUCCCAGUUUACACAAGGCAGUGAGACCCCACCCAAGAAAUGGUGGGGGAGGGGGCUCCACUCAUCAUCAAAAUCCAGCUGCUCAGAUUGGGGAGAAGGCCAGUAUGAGCCAGCACCCGACCCUGCUGCCCUUAGUGCCUGGAGAACCAACCCCUCCCCAGAGUUUCCUUUGGGCCGCUGUAGCUCUGACCUCUUCGUGCCGUGAUGUGGCCAGGAAUGGUAGCACCAUAAUGCAGGAUUCAGCCUAUGGAGCUGCAUGCAAAGGAGCAAACAUGGCUCCUCCAGUUAUUCCCGCAGGAUGUUUCUGCAUCCUUGGUUUCAAGAUUUCUGUGGGUCCAACUGAACCCAUGAACCCCUGCUAAAGCCACCCUGGCUUCCACCUAUUAUAUCAAUACUAGAGGCAGAUGCAAGUCAGGGUAGUCUAAAGAAGCCUCUUUUCACCAAGCAAGAAAGAGUCCUGUGGCACCUUAAAGACUAACAGAUAUAUUGGAACAUAAGCAUUUGUGGGUGAAUACGCAUGCAUCUGACGAAGUGGGUAUUCACCCACGAAAGCUUAUGCUCCAAUAUAUAUGUUAGUCUUUAAAGUGCCACAGGACUCUGUUGCUUUUUACAGAUCCAGACUAACAUGGCUACUCCUCUGAUUCUUUUCACCAAGUAUACAAACAUGUUCUUCCAAAGACACCUAGAACAUAGUACUAAUACACAGGUGUGCAACCUUCUGAAAUAUUUCUUACUGUAUGUUCUCCUGCAGUUUUCAAGACCAAGUAUUUUCAUUUUAAAUCUUAUUUCUAGUGCUGCUGAACAGCAUUCAGCUCUAUCUCAACAGUAUCAAGGUUUGAGAAACUACUAUUCACAAAUACUCAUAGUCAAACCUUUCACAGCCUUAAGGGGCAUAUUUCUUCACUCCAAAUUCUAUGCCCGGCUUCCAGUUGAAUCAAUGGGAGACUUGGUCGUGCAUCUGAGGCUAAAAUUUUGCCCUAAGAGGUGCCUAAUCCUGCAGCACUUUCCUGUGGAAAAAGUUACCUAAAGAUGGGAUUUCUGUGUGCUGGAACGUUAGGCAUCAGUAGGGAAUAACUAAGUGUAAUGCCUGAUGGCAUGGAAAUAUAGUGUGGAUCUUUCUAGCUCACUAAGAAAACGUUAACCUUAUGUUUAAAAAAAGUCUGCUUCUUGAACAUCUGUUUAUACCUUAAAGGAUUUGAUGAGAGAGAUGCCCUCAGAACAGGACAGGUUGGUGAAGACAACCUCAGGAACGCUCCCAUGCUGUCACUGAGUAUCAGAGAAACACUUAAACUAGUAACCUCCCUUGAAAUUUGUUUCACAAGGCAUGUGUAGAUAUUAUAGCCUGAGGUGAACAUUUUAUAAUCUCUUCAAAGUAAUAUGCAUCUCCUUUGAAAAUCUAAUCUGUUGAUUCACAUCACUUUUAUAUAUAUAUAAAAAGAUGCCUUCCACAUAGCCAGAGGUUGAGUACAGAAUGUGUUUAAUAAGCCAAUUUUUCUGCACACACUUUCUGAUGUAAUGUUCAGGGCAAGUUAUCAUUGUUCUAUCUACGUUCUUAGUCAAAGAUAAAUUUAGUUAUAAUUUUGUGUUGUUUUCUUUAAUGUAGCAACAGCGUAUGUGAGUUAUCUCUGCCUGCUCUAAAAAUCACUGCAUUUCAAUCAGUACACAUACUGUACUUCCAAGCAGAUGGCACAUUUCUUAUUGCACUGUUAAAAGAUUUUCACCAUCAGCAAAAAUGAUCUCUAGUGUCAUGAAAUGAAACUCCUAACUCUGAAAACAAAAAUAAAGUUUAUCAUCCUGUUAUUGCAUUGUACACAGUAUCACUGCUUUACUAUCUUUUUUUUUUAAAAUAAAACUAACUUUUUACAAGAUUUUUAAUUUUUCAGAAACAGUAGCAAAUCAACUUCAGGAGAUUCUGCUGUUUGGACAGUAUUCAAUAUGUAAAAUAGCAUUACAAAUAAAUUUUAUUGCAGAAACAUU